This 502-nucleotide ribosomal RNA is filed under the name uncultured bacterium. RNAcentral's name for it is "partial 16S ribosomal RNA". It matches the Rfam family "Bacterial small subunit ribosomal RNA", at positions 28 to 523 of the family's 1533-position model. The record is from RNAcentral.
GAUGAACGCUAGCGGCAGGCUUAACACAUGCAAGUCGAGGGGCAGCACGGUGUAGCAAUACAUUGGUGGCGACCGGCGCACGGGUGCGUAACGCGUAUACAAUUUGCCUUAUACUGGGAGAUAGCCCGGAGAAAUUCGGAUUAGUAUCCCAUAAUAAUUUUGGUCCGCAUGGAUUGAUUUUUAAAGCUACGGCGGUAUAAGAUGAGUAUGCGUCUGAUUAGCUAGUUGGUAAGGUAACGGCUUACCAAGGCAACGAUCAGUAGGGGGCCUGAGAGGGUUAUCCCACACACGGGAACUGAGACACGGUUCAGACUCCUACGGGAGGCAGCAGUGAGGAAUAUUGGGCAAUGGAGGCAACUCUGAACCAGCCAUGCCGCGUGUAGGAAGAAGGCCCUAUGGGUUGUAAACUACUUUUAUUGGGGAAGAAACCCUCUUACGUGUAAGAGGCUGACGGUACCCAAGGAAUAAGGACCGGCUAACUCCGUGCCAGCCGCCGCCGUAA